This 56-nucleotide transfer RNA is filed under the name Eutreptiella gymnastica. The record is from RNAcentral. Lineage: Eukaryota; Euglenozoa; Euglenophyceae; Eutreptiales; Eutreptiaceae.
GUCGAAUGGUAACGCAGCAGACUACAGCGAUAAUGGUCGGUGGUUCGAACCCAGGU